RNAcentral lists this ribosomal RNA (368 nucleotides) under uncultured bacterium. Its description in RNAcentral is "bacterial SSU rRNA". It matches the Rfam family "Bacterial small subunit ribosomal RNA", at positions 30 to 412 of the family's 1533-position model. The record is from RNAcentral.
AUUGAACGCUGGCGGCAGGCCUAACACAUGCAAGUCGAGCGGGGUUUUCGGACCUAGCGGCGGACGGGUGAGUAAUGCGUAGGAAGCUACCCGACAGAGGGGGAUACCAGUUGGAAACGACUGUUAAUACCGCAUAAUGUCUACGGACCAAAGUGUGGGACCUUCGGGCCACAUGCUGUCGGAUGCGCCUACGUGGGAUUAGCUAGUUGGUGAGGUAAUGGCUCACCAAGGCGACGAUCCCUAGCUGGUUUGAGAGGAUGAUCAGCCACACUGGAACUGAGACACGGUCCAGACUCCUACGGAGGCAGCAGUGGGAAUAUUGGACAAUGGGCGCAAGCCUGAUCCAGCCAUGCCGCGUGUGUGAAGAA